CCUACGGGUGGCAGCAGUGGGGAAUAUUGGACAAUGGGGGAAACCCUGAACCAGCGACGCAGCGUGCGUGAAGAAGUAUUUAGGUACGUAAAGCCCUAUCAGCAGGAAAGAAAAUGACGGUACCUGACUAAGAAGCCCCGUCUAACUCCGUGAAAGCAGCCGCGGUUAUACGUAGGGGGCAAGCGUUAUCCGGAUUUACUGGGGGUAAAGGGGGCGUAGACGGCAGCGUAAGGGUGGAGGGAAAUGCCGGGGCCAGACCCGGGAACUGCCGUUGAAACUGUGAAGCUGGAGUGCAGAAGAGGUAGGCGGAAUUCGUGGUGUAGCGGUGAAAUGCGUAGAUAUCAGGAGGAACACCGGCGGCGAAGGCGGCUUACUGGGCUGCGACUGACGUUGAGGCUCGAAGGCGUGGGGAGCAAACAGGAUUAGAUACCCUAGUAGUC
This 440-nucleotide ribosomal RNA is filed under the name uncultured bacterium. Its description in RNAcentral is "partial 16S ribosomal RNA". It matches the Rfam family "Bacterial small subunit ribosomal RNA", at positions 338 to 795 of the family's 1533-position model. The record is from RNAcentral.